Molecule: ribosomal RNA, 420 nt
Filed under: uncultured bacterium
Lineage: Bacteria
Description: bacterial SSU rRNA
Rfam family: Bacterial small subunit ribosomal RNA
Source: RNAcentral
GGGGAAUUUUGGACAAUGGGCGCAAGCCUGAUCCAGCCAUGCCGCGUGAAGGAUUAAGGUCCUCUGGAUUGUAAACUUCUUUUAUAAGGGACGAAAAAAGGUCUUUCUAGAUCAUCUGACGGUACCUUAUGAAUAAGCACCGGCUAACUCCGUGCCAGCAGCCGCGGUAAUACGGAGGGUGCAAGCGUUAUCCGGAUUCACUGGGUUUAAAGGGUGCGUAGGCGGGCAGGUAAGUCAGUGGUGAAAUCCUAGAGCUCAACUCUAGAACUGCCAUGGAUACUAUCUGUCUUGAAUAUUGUGGAGGUAAGCGGAAUAUGUCAUGUAGCGGUGAAAUGCUUAGAUAUGACAUAGAACACCUAUUGCGAAGGCAGCUUACUACGCAUAUAUUGACGCUGAGGCACGAAAGCGUGGGGAUCAAAC